Myodes glareolus (Bank vole) is the source of this 1546-nucleotide non-coding RNA. NCBI's taxonomy places the organism in Eukaryota, Metazoa, Chordata, Mammalia, Rodentia, Cricetidae. The record is from RefSeq and is a predicted model, not a curated record.
UGUGUCGUUCCUUGUUUGGUUUAGAAUCAAUCUGAGAUAAACCGAGCCGCCUCCUCCUUCCCCAGUGUUCUCAAGUCCGGCUGUGUCAGGAGAGCUGUUUCUCCAGCAGCCACUGCCACAGCCGCCUGAGCUCUCAACCACACGAGAAACAGUUCUUGGCUCAUGUUUUCAGGGGUGUGCUGCUUUGAGUUUGCGCUAGACACCUCUACAGAAACACGAGGGAGGGCAGAGCCUCUCACCUCAAGAAUGGGAGCACUUGGCAGUGACCCGAAGACCUCCUCCUACGCCUCAUCUCGGAACAGACUGCCGCCUCCCAAGAAUGUGACCCAGUGAGCAAGCCUGAAGGAUGUGGGCAUUUGGAUGACACUCGGGACCUACACGGCAGCAGAAAGAGUGAGCUCAGCUUUCGGGACCUUGAACCUGCUUCCAGGAGUGUCUGCAGCCAAGGCCAGUCACCACUACCACCACCAAAGCCUGCCAAGCCUGGCAAGCCUGGAGCCAAGCCUAUGCCAGGGCAAACCUGUCAAGGUCCAUCUCUGGUUUCUUUGGGACACAUGGCACUGCUGGAGUCCAUCUCUUCCUGACUUCUCACAUCUCUUUACCGGUACUAUUGGCCCCGUCCACUCCGGUAGCAGGGGAGGAAGUGAUCAACUGGGGAUGGCCCCCUCCUCGUGGGACACACCGCUGAAUGAGAGCAUCCAGUGGUUGCAGUUCAGUGAUAUGUGGGUACUUAUGGUAGGCUCAGGUGGCUGGGGACGGAGAAUCAAUACCUUUGCUGUAGAUGGGGCAAGGAUGAAGUGCAUUCAUGGUAGAAUGCAUUCUUGGUAGAAGGAACAGACUAGGCAAAGACAAGGAGGCAUCUCAGACAGGUGGGGAGUUGCAGGUCACUUAGCAUGGCUAUCAGCAGAAGCAAGUUGGAUCUGGGACUCUGGAGGACGCUGGCUUCCUUCUUAGGGUAUAGUGAGAGUGGAGGGUCCUGCUGGGGUGGCUGCACUCCAGGGAGGGGUUAGGCCGCCAGUGCUGAGGCCAGAGAAGGAGCAAAUUGGCUUUAGAUAAGGAUUGCCCCCCAGCUGACCUUCCGGGCCCUGGGACUCUGGAUUUGGGAUGAGAUUGGGGCUUCAGCCGUUUCUGAGCUGAGACUGUAAGGGAGGCCAUGGCAGUUUUCGGUUGCUACGCUAACACAUUGGAGAAGCUCUGCUUUAAUGCACAGCGGUCUGUCGACCCUCAGAGGUUUCAGGUUAUGGUCUUCGGCUCUGUUGCUUUGGGCUGAAGGGACUGAGGAGCCAGGAAGCAGGGAGGAGAUGGGGAAGAGGGGGACAGGACACAUACCAAGGGGCCCCACGGGUGGAGUCCCGUCAAUUGGGUGUCACUCCCUUCCGACUGCCUCUAAUGGCCCACCAGAUUAUAAGCACACAGGCAGCCACUGCUACUGUCAAAGCCUGAUGACCUAAGCCCUUCUGAGAAGCCUGUUAAUCAGCAACUAUGACUUUAUCACUUGGCCUUUGGAAGACAUUUGAAAUCCAAAUUAUAACCAUGCUUAUCUGCU